AUGAGAAUGACAGUGGGAAGGCACUCAGAGACACUGGCUUUCAACGUCACGACCAUCUCAGACCCCCCCAUCGUUUUGGGAAUGAGCUGGCUGGCGCGCCACGACCCCUCCAUAAGUUGGCACCAGAGAUGCAUCACGUUUGGGUCGGACUUUUGUCUGGAACAUUGCAUGCAGCACCAACCAGGGGAGGGGCCUCCGAUAGCCACGGUGGCCACCAUGCACGUCAAAGGGGGUGAGGCGAUACCCAAGCCGUACUGGGACCUGCAGGAGGUCUUCAGCGAAGCGGAGUCCGACCACCUACCUCCACACAGGCCUUUUGACUGCCAGAUCAACCUGGUGCCUGGGGCAACGAUACCCCCAGCCAAGCUGUACGCCAUGUCAGACCAUGAACUGGAGGAUCUGCGCGCUUUCAUCGACAAGAACCUCAAGCGGGGGUUCAUCAGAGAAAGCAAGGCAGCAGGGGGCAGCCCGGUCUUCUGGGUGGACAAGAAAGACACGCAACAGCGCCGUCUGGUGGUGGAUUUUAGACGGCUGAAUUCAGUGACAGAGCCAGUGGCUUUCCCCAUGCCCAGAGUGGAUGAUCUCCUGACAGCGGCACGCAGGGGCAAGAUUUUCACCAAGCUAGACCUAAGAGGGGCGUACAACUUGAUCAGGAUCCGGGAGGGCGAUGAAUGGAAAACCACGAUGUUCACGCCUCUGGGCUCUUUUGAAUAUCUGGUGAUGCCCUUCGGGUUGCAAGGGGGCUCAGCCUGCUUCCAGGCCUUCAUGCACCACGUCCUGGGGUCCCUCCUCUUCAAGAACUGCUUGGUCUUUCUGGAUGACAUCCUUAUCUAUUCCAAUGACCCAGUGCAGCAUGUGAAGGAUGUCAGGGAGGUGUUGCAGCGCCUGAAGGACAACCACCUGUAUGUGAAGCUGGAGAAGUGCAAGUUUCACACCAAGGAGGUAGACUUCCUGGGCUACAAGCUGUCAGACAAGGGGCUGGCAAUGGACAAGGACAAGGUGCAGACCAUCCUGGACUGGCACAGCCCCAGGACGCGCAAAGAUGCCCAACGCCUACUAGGCUUCGCUAACUUCUACAGGAAGUUCAUCAAGAACUUCUCUCGUGUCACGGCUCCCAUCACCGACUGCCUGAGAGGCAAGCAGAAGUUCAGGUGGACACCAGAGGCACAAGCAGCGUUCGAAAGCCUCAAGAGGGUAUUCGCUUCAGACCAGCACCUGUUCCACGUGGUGCAGGAUGCGCCCCUACGCCUGGAGACAGAUGCUUCUGAUAAAGCUGUGGGAGCGAUUCUGUUGCAACUGGACGCCAACAGAGAGUGGAGACCCUGUGCCUUCUUCUCCAGGAAGCUGACCCAGCCUGAACGCAACUACACAGUGUUUGAUAGGGAACUUCUCGCGAUCCACGCUGCGUUCCAGCACUGGCGACACUUCCUGGUGGGCGCCAAGCACCCCAUCCAGGUGUGCACAGACCACAAGAACCUGGAGUUCUGGAGAACGGCCAGGGUGCUCAACCAGCGGCAGAUACGGUGGGCAGAGUUCUUCUCGAACUUCAACUUCUCCAUCCACUACAUCCCGGGGGAGCAGAACGUCAGGGCGGAUGCCCUCUCCCGCAAGCCAGAGUACAUGGAGGAGGAGUUGCCACCAGCACCCAGGCACGUUUUCCCCCCAUCUGCAUGGUCAUGCGGUGCAGCAGUGGUGAGCGAGGCAGAACUCGCAGCACUGACGGCAGCGGAUGAAUUUGCCACCCGCAUCUUCAGAGACCUGAGAGGGGGGAGGGAGCAGGCCAAAGACUUUGAGGAAAGGAGGGGUUUGCUUUUUUACAGGGGAGCCCUGUACCUCCCGACCAAACAGCUGAGAGGUAAGGUUCUCAAGCAGAUGCACGACAACCCAACGGCGGGUCAUUUCGGAAGGGACAAAACCACUCACCUAGUCAUGAGACACUUCUGGUCGCCAGGGGUGCGGGAGGAUGUUCGGGAUUAUGUCAGGGGAUGUGACACCUGCCAGCGAGCAAAGGUGGUCAGAGCGCCACCAGCAGGUUUGCUGGAGCCAUUAGCCACACCGCACAGGCCGUGGGAAGUAGUGUCCAUGGACUUCAUCACAGACCUGCCGUCGUCCAGGGGCAAGACCGCAGUGUUGGUGGUGGUGGACCUCAUGUCCAAAAUGUGCCACUUUAUACCGUGUGCCAGGGCGGUCUCGGCAGAAGAGACGGCCAAACUGUUUGUGGACCACGUAUUCCGACUGCAUGGAUUGCCUUUAAGGGUUAUUUCGGAUCGUGGCCGCCAAUUUGUUUCCAGGUUCUGGCGACGGCUCAUGAACCUCCUGCAGGUGGAGGUCAGCUUGUCGACGGCUCGGCACCCGCAGACCAAUGGACAGGCGGAGCGGGUCAACGCCAUUCUGCAGCAGUACCUGAGAUGUUACGUCAGCCAGAGGCAAACGGACUGGGUGGAUCGCCUGCCACUGGCAGAAUUUGCCUACAACAAUGCGGUGCACGUCUCCACAGGGGUGUCGCCCUUUAAGGCCAACUACGGGCGCGACCUCAGAUCUUUCCCGGAGAGGGAGGGGGAGGAGGAGGAAGAGGGCCCACAGGCCGAGGAUUGGGCAGAGGACCUGGAGACGGUGCACCAGCAGCUCAGAGAACACUUGGAGAGGGCCAAGGAAGCGUACAAGAAGGGGGCAGAUCGCCAUAGGCGGCCGGGAGAGGUCAUCAGGGUGGGGGACAAGGUUUGGUUAUCCUCGGAAGGUCUUCCCACCAGGGGUCGAUGCAGAAAGUUAGCACCCAGGAGGCUGGGCCCCUUCACGGUCACGCAACAGGUCAACCCGGUAGCCUUCAGGCUAGCACUGCCGGAGGACAUGAGAGUGCACCCAGUGUUUCAUAGAUCACUGCUGUCGCCGUACAGGGAAAGUACCAGGUUCAGGGACAGCGAUCAACCUCCAGAGGGAGGGGGGGAGGCGGGAAACGCCCGACAGCUCAAUGAGGCAACUGAGAUUUUAGACUCAAGGAGAGGGGUGAGAGGACUGGAGUACCUGAUAGCAUGGGAGGACACUCCGCCAUCCCACAAUGAGUGGAUACCGGCCACGGAAGUACCUGAGGAAUUUUUAGUGGAAGAAUUCCACGCCCUGUUCCCCCACAGGCCCAAGCCCUGGCACAUGGAAAGGGAGGGAGAGGGGGAGGAGCAGGAGGAAGGGAUAGCAGGCAGCAGCUCCCCAUGGAGAUGGGAAGCGGAAUUUGAGGACACGGAAGAAGAGGUGUGGGUUUCACCGAGGUCAACGACGUCAGAGGCAGGAGAGGACUGGCAGAACAUUUUUACUCCCACCAGCUCUGAUGCCACUGACUUCUUGGGAUUUCCGUCUUCUCAGGGGGAAGGAGAGAGAUCGCAGGAUUGGGGGGAAAUUUUCACACCCACAGGCUCGGAUGCCACUGACUUCUUGGGAUUUCACUCGUCCCCAGCAAGCAGAGAGCCACUAGGGAGGAGGAGAGAGGAGCCUGGGAGGGGGGUGGAUGUGAGGGACAAGGGAUACAGGGAAGUCCCUCCCAUCUUAAGUUCCAGCCCAUCACCAAGCGCUGGAGAGAGUAAGGAGAGCUCUGCCUCCAGCGGAGAGUCAGGAAGUGGUGUCCGAGGCUCAGGCAGGGUUGUGGAGCCCAUGCCUCAGGUGGGACAGGAAGUUGGACGCACGGGGGGGGGGAGGCCAAUCCCCCCAACUCCCGAAUUGCGACGCAAACGUAGGGGGAAGAGGUUGGGUCUGCCAAAGUUGUGGUGCUGGAAGAAAACGCGCCAAUCGCCAUUCGGGAGUUCUGACACCUCACCUUAAGGAUGCAUUUUUAUUGCUCUGAACACUGUAAAUAAUCAGCACUUAAUAAAAGCCUUAAAAGACCAUGCUGGAGUCGUUACUCUAGAGUAGCCAUACCAGGCCCUCUGACAGGCACCAAACUGAACUUUCACCUGCAAAACAAGCUGUUAAACUAGUUGAGAUUUAUUUAGGACUCAAUCACAAAUUUCAUUUGAAGUUAUGGUUAGGUAUUUUAUGAUCAUGCACACAUGAUAAUUGGAGGUCACCAAUUGUCUCAGGAGUUCUAAAUGUUUUUCUAUACCCACCCUACCAAAUAACCCCGGCUAUGUGUAUAACACUUAGCCGUUUAAGUACGUAUGUCACAGACCAGGCUGGACUGUCGGGUACUGACUCUUGGAUUCAUGUUCCUCCUUCUGAGACAAUCUGUGCUUGAAUCCGCAGGAAAAGGUAGAAUUAAAAAAUCAAAUAAAUCGCUUCAUACAUUUCAGCAAGUGUGGCUUCAUGAGCCAUUUUAAGGGAGGGAGGAACCCUGCCAGUCAGAAUAUAAUUAAUUAUUGUGUCCAUGCUACCAUGAUAGCUGAUGGGUUGAGUAGAAAUGUAGCUGCCAUUUUCUUUGAUGGUAGCUGCUCCCUACUUUUUGUACUUUACCCAUUGCUUUUUAAUUUGCUCUUUAGGUACGUACUUGAGAGUGAUACGGUAGUAGUGAUAGUGCUAAGGCACUAAAUGUGCUCAAAGCUGCAGUCCUAUGAACACUUAUCUAGGAGUAGGCCCUAUUGAAUUCAGUGGGGUAUGCAUCACAGAAAAUGUGUAUGUAAUUGGACUGCACUGUGUAUAAAUGACAAGCAAGCCUGAAACAGCCCCCCUUUUUUUGCACGGAGAGGCAUAUAUUACAAGUGGGACCUGCAAGAAAAUAUUGCAAUGCAGAGUGCUGCUGUUCAGGAUGCUAGCCAGUUGUGCUCUUUUCCUGAAUACUCCAUUCUUCCCCCCCACCCCCCAGCCAGUGUUCCAUUGCCACUAAACAGGCUUAGUUUUUACUGUUUUGGGGAUAUUCUCUCCCAUUCAUUAGGGGAGUAGCCCUCUAGGUGUUGGACUCCCAUCAGCAAGGCUGGUACUUGCAUGAAGCAGAGUGAAGCAAUGUGCGUCAGACUGCAGAUCCACUCUCUGCCCCACACCCACAGAUACACUGUUUCCAGCUCCACCAUGGCGUUGCCCAUGCCAUCACAUGCAAGCACUGCUAACGCUGUGUCCUUACUACUGUCACUGUGUCAUGGUGGCAGCAUGAGGUGCAGUCACUGGCAAGGGUGGAGUUAAGGAGGCAGGGCUGGCAACAGUGAGGGGACAGUGAUGAGGGCAGGGUGGUGGCAGAGCAGCAGUUAUGUGUGUGGGAGGGAUUUGGAGCAGCAAAGUAUCCCAGGCUUUCCCUACCCAUCAGCCUCACCCAUGAUCAAUGGUUAGCAUCCUCUGGAAGGCCACUGGUUUCCCAACCCUGCAUCAGUCUUCCUUCCCCACCCCUUUAAAGAUUUUUUUUGGACUUUUACCAACCUUGGGGUUUGGAUGGUUCUGCUUUAGCUAUGUAAGGUUCCAUGCUUGGUGAAUGAUUUCACUAUUAGUAUAGAGGAUAAUCUUGCUUUAGCCUCUGUCUGCAAUUUGUGUUUUCUACCAGGAAGUUGGAUCUGCAGAGUUUCAACAUAGUUGCUGAAUCACGUGCCUUCAAGCUGCUUUACCAGUAUCCCCCCCCACAUCUGUUCAAGUGAUACUGAAUUAGUUUAUUAAUUUAUUGAAUGUGGUCAUUUGGGAAAGGCUAUAGAUCAGGGUCCCCAAACUAAGGCCCGGGGGCCGGAUGCGGCCCAAUCGCCUUCUAAAUCUGGCCCGCAGAUGGUCCAGGAAUCAGCAUGUUUUUACAUGAGUAGAAUGUGUCCUUUUAUUUAAAAUGCAUCUCUGGGUUAUUUGUGGGGCCUGCCUGGUGUUUUCACAUGAGUAGAAUGUGUCUUUUUAUUUAAAAUGCAUCUCUGGGUUAUUUGUGGGGCAUAGGAAUUCGUUCAUAUUUUUUUUCAAAAUAUAGUCCGGUCCCCCACAAGGUCUGAGGGACAGUGGACCAGCCCACUGCUGAAAAAGUUUGCUGACUCCUGCUAUAGAUCAUGUACUUUGCAUGCAAAAGACCCAUGGUUCGAUCCUGGUACCUGGGAAGGAGUCCUGUCUGGAGAGCCAUCACCAAUCACUAUGUCACUGACCUAGAUGAACCAUUCUUCUGUCUUGGUAGAAAGACAACCUCCUAUGUGUCAGUAAUUCGGCCGUCCCGGGGGCCAGCUGUUAGACUGGUCCCACAGGCCAAAAAUGCGAUUGCUCUCACAAACGUGAUGAACAACACACAAGUCAGUAAAUAAGGCUUAACUGCUUUAUUUACAUAUAAACAAUUUGGGAGCUCUACAUCAUGGCUCCCUCUCUCUGGCAUCACAGCCAGUAAAGAGAAAGAAGAAAGAGACAACAGUCCCACGUAGUACAGCAAGAUAAACAUCGUGUCUACGUCACUUCCACUCUGUGGAAAUGAAAACACAUACAGUCAUAUGAUACACAAUAACCCUAUGACUGCAGAUGGUUGAAUGAAUCUCCUAACACUAUGAUGGGGCUGGAGCAUAUUUUUCUUCUUAAUCUGCUCUUCCAUACCCCUUUAUGGGAAAUAUCAAAAGGAAGAAUAUGAAAUUUAAAAUAGAUUGGUGUUAUUGAUUUUUGUCCUAAGGGGCUAAGGGUUGAUGAAAACAGCAUAUGUCCAUGUGCUUUUCUACUGAUGGUCCAUUUUUUCUUCCAAGGAAAAAAAAGACUAAAAAAAACAGCAAAAAAAGCAUAUGCUUCCAAUUUACAUAUUUACUAAUUAAAAAAAGCUUCCUGGAAACAUUAAGCAGACUAUCUUGAGUAACCUUUAACAUUGUAGCUAAUGGAUAUCGCCUGGAAAUUUUCAUAGAAGGUCUUCUAAAUAAUGUAAAUGAUUAUGAAUAUGUAACUAGUUAAUAUGCAGCUACGAAAGGAUUAUCAUGUAGAGGUUAAUGAACACGCUGCACUUCACGGUUUGUGGGGCUUUUGCUUUUGUGCCUUUAGCUCACUUCAUGCUUGGAAAGUCAUGCAUUGGGAAUGGAAAGCUUCCUGUUUCCCUUUCUGGAAAUGGGGCACUUGAGCUGGAACUUUCUUAAAAGGUUUCAUAAACAUUUUUAGUGUUGUUCAAUGCCAAUUUCCCAAACCUUUUCAUUAUACAGCCCAUAACAGUAGUAGUACCGGUAGUAAUGGCAGUACUUAUGUAGCAUAUUAUUCACAUACGUUAGUCUAGUAAUCCUUAUUACAGUCCUGUAAGGUAGGCCAGUGUUAGUACCCCCACAAUGCCGAGAAAUCGGCCAGUUCAUUCAUACUGUGAAUAUACUUUGAGUUUCAUAAAUUCAUAGAAUGGUAGAGUUUGAAGGAACCCUGAGGGUUAUCUAGUCCAACCCCCUGCAAUGCAGGAAUCAUACCUGACAGAUGGCCAUCCAACGUCUGUUUAAAAUCCUCCUAGGAAGGAGAGUCCACCACCUCUUCUGAGAGUCUCUUCCAUUGUCAAAGAAGCUCAUACUGUCAGAAAGUUCUUCCUGAUACUUAGUUGGAAUCACCACUGUAGCAAGAAAAGCCACUCUAGCAUUAAAGCAUUAGUGUGUGCUCCCAUGUGGCCGAGCUGAGUCAAUGCAGUGGGAGGAAGAGGAGGAGCAGGCGGGGUAGGGAGGAAGGGCCACAGCUCACUAGCAGAGUUUCCAUCCCGCAUGCAGAAUGUCCCAGGCUCAAUCCCUAAUGGCAUCUCCAGGUGAGGCUUGGGAGAGAUGCCUGCCUGAAUCCCUGCAGAGCCACUGCCAGUCAGUGGCAUCAGUAUUUCUCAAACCUGAGUUUGUAUGCUACCUACUUUCUGAUUUCUUCAUGCACGUUGAUUCUGUCCCUUACUUCCUGAUUCUGAAUUUAGUUUGCUGUAAGUGUUGUUCACCCUAGUCCCGUCCCCCCCAAUCAAAAUCUGAAACCACAAUUUGUGCACUAGCUAUGGCAAACUAUGGUUUGUGGUAACCAUUUACGUAGUUUGCGUAGUUUGGAUGUUGUGGUUGACUAUAUGGAAGAAGUUAUGGUGAAUCACUAAGAGAGACAGAGGAGGAAAUGCAUACGGUAAACCUAUAAUCCAUUUACAGGGUGUCUGAAAUGGAGUCAGUGGCUUGCAACUGAGGCAAAAUUUGAACCAGCAACCUCCUAGAUCUAGAUUGUGGUUUAUUAUCUUGGCAACAAUGCUAGACCAACCAAUGAGCUACAACAGCUCUUAUCUGAGGACAUUAAAUUCUUAUUUUGAUUUAUUCUGCUGGAAGUAAUGAAUAGUUGCCUCAUUCUUUUCCAAAAAAACUAUUAAGGAACUCUGAUUUUAGAAGGGGGAAAUUAAAUACAGUAGAACACAUCUAUGUCAGCUACAUUUGUUUUAAGAUAUGCAAUUUUUAUAGUGUAUGGCAUAGAAUAGGAUGAUUCUUUCUGUCUCUUCAUGUGCAAAAAUGACAAGUUUACAACAAAUGGAUGGGAUUUUAUGAAAGUAAUAUUGCUUUACAUUUUUAAGUGGAUUGUGCAAGCUUCACUCAGGCUGAGUCUACAAUCUACCUUGGAGUAUCUGAAUAUAAGCCAAAUCUUCAUAGUUUUGCCAAGCCCCAUCAGUCCCCUCUUUACAAAGAAACCAUCUGCACCUGUGCUUUCAUGGAACAUUGAAGAUAAAACAUAAUUAUUCUGGCAAAUGUUCCCAGUAGUUGCUUUCACAUGUUAGCUUGUUUGUGGGUACAUGAGAAACAAAUAUUUGUAAAAAUGAUUUGUGAAACCCUAUAUCCAGAUUGGAAAUAAGUAUGAGUUACUUUAUUAAGUUCCUUCUACAUGCAGAGUUUUCACAAUCCUCAGAGUAAAAUUGGUAUACAUUUACUUCUGAUCAUACAGUCUGUGGUCCAUAGAGCUAUUUGCAUACUGUAUAUGCAAACCCUUCUGCUCCCUAGCUGGGGCACUCUAUAUUUCCUCUACUGAACAUACCUUCUUUUUACUGGUUUGGAUUCUGGAGCAUUUCUUACCUUAUGAAGAAGCAUUUUGGGAGUGGAGGUACAAGAACUACGGUGGAAAGAAGGAGAUUCAGAGUGCUGAAGAGUCCCUAUCCAUGUUCAGAAGUGUCACCUGCAGUUCCUAACAAUUAGACAAUAGUUGAGGGAGCUAUUCUGAACCUGUAACUUCCCUCUGGGUGAGAAUACAGUGGAACCUCUGUUUUCGAACGUAAUAUGUUCCGGAAUACCGCUCGACUUCCGAAACGUUCAAAAACUGAAAGCAGAAUCCUCAAUUCAAUAGGGAAACUCAAAACGGAAACCGCAUUGGAUGCUCGGGUUCUGAAAAACGUUAGAAAACCAGAACAUUUACUUUUGGGUUUUUGGCAUUCGGGAACUGAAACGUUCGAAAACAGAGCUUUGACUGUAGCAGUUUGGGAGAUGGGGAAAAUUAUUUUUGUGGGGGCUGCAGUGCUGGGGGAAAGAGUAAAGCCCCUUGCUUACAUGUUGUGGUCCCAUUCCUGAUUGCGUCUUUAGAUGCAUGCACACAUUUUAAGGGGCCAAAGACCUUUCAGCGCAACUGAUUACCUAUUGUUUCCCAUGUGUUGCAUAUACAGUAGUCUUACCAACUUCCUUCAAAGUUGUAUUUAUGUUGUGUAGAUAGCUCAUUUCCCAUGAGCUCAUGGUAUAAUAUUUUGUACUUGAGAAAGUGCUGCUGUCACCAUUAUGCGAGACAGGCAUUUAUUAGAUUGGGGUAGUCAAUGUGGUAUCCUCCAAAUGUUAUGGGCUACAACUCCCAUCAUCCCUGACCAUUGGCCUUGCUGGCUGGACAUUGUUGUCCAAAACAUCUGGAGGUUACUACAUUGGCAACCCCUGUACAUGUAUUAGAUAAUGAGUCACUGACCAACAAGCAUCAUAACUCCGUCUCCUGUGUUCACAUUGUUUUGUAAACUAUUCAGAGGCAGUGCAGCUUUACACUGUUAACCAUUUAAGUAUGGCUUCGUGUGUGCAUUUAGCUUGAUGAAUACCAGAAACGCCCUUCUCUCCUUCCACAAAUGUGUCCCACUAUCUUGAGAACAACUGGAACAGCCCUUAUAUAUACAUUAUACCUCCAAGAUACAAUAAAGGGAAUGGUAAAACCCUCUCCUCCCAUACCUUCUAUAUGUGAAUAGAUUCCUUUGUCACUAUGAGGGAGUUUUGAACUCGGGUAUUGUCAUUACUAUUAUUAUUUAUUAUUAGUGUUCAAAGCCCAGAAUGUGUUUAUCAGAUUUGAAUGCUUUAAAAUGUUGGUAGUGUAAAUAGUGGGAUCUAAAACUUUCAUGUGUUUUGUGAUAUUUUUUUAUUGUUUAAAUAGUGACAAGAACCUGGUCUUCUAAUGUAUUUUGGAUUAAAUAAUAUUCCUCUUUCCAGAAGUCUGUAAAUUGAUGGAUGUUAUAAUAUUCACUUUUGUGUAUGUGUAUAUAUUAUGUUUCUGAAAUUGUAAUCAAAGUUCAAAUUGUUUUUUUUAUAUGAUUAAUCAGAUGUUUAUUGCACCAGGGUGAAACUGAAGGUCAGAUUACAGUUUAGAGUUGUAUUAAUGAAGAAAAAUGUUUUUAUGGGUGAUUCUGUUUUAAACAAACAGCAAACAUGCACUCCUCUUAUAAAUUAUAUUUGCUUUAUUCUGCAAAGCAUGUAACAUUGAAAACAGAUGUGUAGAUAGUACAAAAUAUUAGUUUUAUCUUGUAUCAUGUGUCAUCUCGUUGUUAUGGAGCAUGCAUUGUAUCAAAAUAUGAGUUGGGGAAGGUGUAAUUUAUUCUAUGGUUAUCAGUUUGGAUUAGAGCAUUGUGAUAAAGUGGGCUGCUUAAGAACGAAUGUUCCCGCGCCUUUGCGCUGACAAAUAAAAAUGUAUAGUGAGACGCCACCAGAUCUGUAAAGCGUCUGCUCUAGUUUCUGAAACAUUGAGUUUGCAGCUGUGUGCUUGGCCUUGUUUUUUCAUGAGCAGUUAUCUGUUUUAAUGACAGGUGGUCACUAGCUGCCAAGAAAAAAUUCAGCACUGGAAGAAGGUGGAGAGUGACUAUGAAGCUCUUCAGGAACGACUUGGCACAUUGCCUGACAAACUCUCUUAUGAUAUCAUG
This is a non-coding RNA of Zootoca vivipara (common lizard), 10957 nucleotides long. Lineage: Eukaryota; Metazoa; Chordata; Lepidosauria; Squamata; Lacertidae. The record is from RefSeq and is a predicted model, not a curated record.